UCUCAAAUUCCUGACCUCAAGUGAUCCUCCUGCCUCGGCCUCCCAAAGUGUUAAGAUUAUAGGCGUGAGCCACCGUGCCCGGCCUCGGUUCAUUUGCAGAUCUGUGCCUUCUUCAAAUACAUCUGGACUUCUCCAUUCUCUCACGGUCAUGGUGACCUGUCUCUUGACUACCAUCUAACCAGCAGAGUGGUCUUUUGAGAGCAUGCACUGUUGUGGUCACCCACCCUUCAUGGCUUUACAGAGGCCUCCAGGCCCUACACUGUGGGAUCCAUGAGCACCUUCUGGCCUGUCCUUCCUCAUUCUCCUCUCUCUCCCUUCUGUGCGUCCACUGCACCUGCCUUCCACCACUUCCAAGCUCUUUCCCAGCCGGGGACCCCUGAGUCCUGGGUCCUCCCUGCAGAACUCAC
Molecule: long non-coding RNA, 407 nt
Filed under: Homo sapiens (human)
Lineage: Eukaryota; Metazoa; Chordata; Mammalia; Primates; Hominidae
Description: HSALNT0277986
Source: RNAcentral